Molecule: ribosomal RNA, 511 nt
Filed under: Mycobacterium asiaticum
Lineage: Bacteria; Bacillati; Actinomycetota; Actinomycetes; Mycobacteriales; Mycobacteriaceae
Description: bacterial SSU rRNA
Rfam family: Bacterial small subunit ribosomal RNA
Source: RNAcentral
UGGAGAGUUUGAUCCUGGCUCAGGACGAACGCUGCGGCGUGCUUAACACAUGCAAGUCGAACGGAAAGGCCCCUUCGGGGGUACUCGAGUGGCGAACGGGUGAGUAACACGUGGGUGAUCUGCCCUGCACUUCGGGAUAAGCCUGGGAAACUGGGUCUAAUACCGGAUAGGACCACGGGAUGCAUGUCCUGUGGUGGAAAGCUUUUGCGGUGUGGGAUGGGCCCGCGGCCUAUCAGCUUGUUGGUGGGGUGACGGCCUACCAAGGCGACGACGGGUAGCCGGCCUGAGAGGGUGUCCGGCCACACUGGGACUGAGAUACGGCCCAGACUCCUACGGGAGGCAGCAGUGGGGAAUAUUGCACAAUGGGCGCAAGCCUGAUGCAGCGACGCCGCGUGGGGGAUGACGGCCUUCGGGUUGUAAACCUCUUUCACCAUCGACGAAGGUCCGGGUUUCUCGGAUUGACGGUAGGUGAGAAGAAGCACCGGCCAACUACGUGCCAGCAGCCGCGGUA